Molecule: long non-coding RNA, 140 nt
Organism: Poecilia latipinna (sailfin molly)
Lineage: Eukaryota; Metazoa; Chordata; Actinopteri; Cyprinodontiformes; Poeciliidae
Exons: 3
Source: RefSeq, a predicted model, not a curated record
CUGGGUCAGAACCGGGUAUCAACAGGGUCAGAGAGACUCCUCCAGCGGGUCAGAACCGGGUCAGUGAGUCUCCUCCAGCGGGUCAGAACCGGUUUUGGGUCAGUGAGUCUCCUCCAGCGGGUCGGAACCGGGACAGAACC